UUAAACGGGUAUUUAACAAUGUAUCGACC
This 29-nucleotide small RNA is filed under the name Bombyx mori (domestic silkworm). RNAcentral describes it as "ovarian small RNA-9263". Lineage: Eukaryota; Metazoa; Arthropoda; Insecta; Lepidoptera; Bombycidae. The record is from RNAcentral.